GGUUGUCAGAGACGGACCAGACCAGAACCCAGGUCCCAAAAACCUGCAGGAGGAGGGGGGCACAGUCAGACUGGUCUAAGGCUACCACUGAGAGAGCAGUGAUGUCACACUGUUCUGGAGUACACCUGCACAUCACCACAACCGGGGGGUUCGACUGAUCCUCGUACAAAUAUUUACUUUAAAGUCUCCAUAAGGUCAGAAUCAGUGUUCAGCACUACUUUAUAGCUACUUAUAGAGCUAAUAUGGUCUGUAGCUAGGUAAUUGUGAUGUUAUGAGUACACUAGGUCAAGAACUCCAUUACCCAGCAUGCCACAGUAGUAAGGAGCAUGUGCAGGAGCCCCGUCUGCCGGGUGUGGUAUGUAGCCAUACGGGUAGCACUGAACUGUUGUUAUGUGCAAGUUGUCAAGUAAAUAUGAAAGACCAGCUAUCACACCUCGUCUGCUUAUUAUAAGUUCAAGCAAGACAACACAGUAACGAGUUAGGUAAUCUACAUCAGUUGUUAGCUAGCUACUUACAUCUGAAAGCUAUUGUUAGCAAAAUGCUAGCUAACUAACAAUUGAUGUAAAUUAGCUAACUAAUUAGCUAGGAAUUUGCUAACAAUAGCUAGCUGUAACUAGCUAGCUAGUGACUGAUGUAGCUUAGUUAACAAGGUAACUAACAUUUUGCGUGAUAGCAAAACGCUAUGUAACUAGCUACCAAAUCUAUGUCAGAUUAUUAGUUUUCCCUCUGACGUCCUCCGACUGCUCAGCUUCAACUCUCUGAGUUACAGUUUCCUGAUGGACAGAUAGCUUUAGCUAAAGCAGCUAACUGCUAACUAACUGUAUCUUCCGUUAGCCAGUAACAGAACCGGGCUCAGCAGCCGGACCAGGUAGAACACAGCCUCCGAGCCCCUCAGGAGUUCUGGAUGUCUGGUCUCAGAACCAGGCUGAGCAGAAACACACUCACCUUGUCCAGGUCUUUUGGCGGCAGCGUUACGUUCAGACCGCCACAGUCUUCGGGGCCCGGCGCUGCUUUGGUGCCGAGCACCGCCAGCAGCAGCAGCAGCGUCGCUUGGUUCACAACAGUCAUCGUGCUCUGGGACAGAAA
Long non-coding RNA from Dicentrarchus labrax (European seabass), 1086 nucleotides. RefSeq lists it as uncharacterized. Lineage: Eukaryota; Metazoa; Chordata; Actinopteri; Moronidae. The transcript has 2 exons. The record is from RefSeq and is a predicted model, not a curated record.